UCCCCCUCAGGAUCACACCUGGAGAGUUUCCAGUACUCUACCAGUCAUGACAACAGGAAGGAGAGUCAAGCAGAGGCCUGUCCAUUCCAUUCCUAGCUUGGGCAGUGGCUAGUGAGUGGAAGGCUACCUGCUACAAGU
This is a small nucleolar RNA of Ornithorhynchus anatinus (platypus), 138 nucleotides long. NCBI's taxonomy places the organism in Eukaryota, Metazoa, Chordata, Mammalia, Monotremata, Ornithorhynchidae. The record is from RefSeq and is a predicted model, not a curated record.